This 350-nucleotide unclassified non-coding RNA is filed under the name Hevea brasiliensis (rubber tree). Lineage: Eukaryota; Viridiplantae; Streptophyta; Magnoliopsida; Malpighiales; Euphorbiaceae. The record is from RNAcentral.
UGAGCUUAUUUCUAAAACCCAGGGCUUUAGCCUCGAAAAUUUGUUCGCGAAGCAGGCGGUAUGUAUAACUAUAAUUUUCUUUUUUUUCAUUGUCAUUGUGGGUAUAGUUGUUCUUGAGGGCAGGGUGCACUGUGCGAUGGUGGUGUCUAGGAUUGAUUAGAUGAUUUUUCUCACUUGAGAAUAUGCACAUUGGCUGUUAAUUUUAAUUGUUUAUGGCUUGAGUCUUCCUAAUUGUUGCAUAGAUAAUUAUCUAUCAAUCUUAUUUUGUCAGCUUGGAUAGAGUCUUUCUUUUUUAGCAUAUGUAAAUAUGUUCUUUAUGUCUAAUAUUCCUCUUUAUCCCUCUAUCUGCC